Molecule: ribosomal RNA, 665 nt
Filed under: Salmonella enterica
Lineage: Bacteria; Pseudomonadati; Pseudomonadota; Gammaproteobacteria; Enterobacterales; Enterobacteriaceae
Also listed under: 3 other names
Description: partial 23S ribosomal RNA
Rfam family: Bacterial large subunit ribosomal RNA
Source: RNAcentral
GUGGGUAGUUUGACUGGGGCGGUCUCCUCCUAAAGAGUAACGGAGGAGCACGAAGGUUGGCUAAUCCUGGUCGGACAUCAGGAGGUUAGUGCAAUGGCAUAAGCCAGCUUGACUGCGAGCGUGACGGCGCGAGCAGGUGCGAAAGCAGGUCAUAGUGAUCCGGUGGUUCUGAAUGGAAGGGCCAUCGCUCAACGGAUAAAAGGUACUCCGGGGAUAACAGGCUGAUACCGCCCAAGAGUUCAUAUCGACGGCGGUGUUUGGCACCUCGAUGUCGGCUCAUCACAUCCUGGGGCUGAAGUAGGUCCCAAGGGUAUGGCUGUUCGCCAUUUAAAGUGGUACGCGAGCUGGGUUUAGAACGUCGUGAGACAGUUCGGUCCCUAUCUGCCGUGGGCGCUGGAGAACUGAGGGGGGCUGCUCCUAGUACGAGAGGACCGGAGUGGACGCAUCACUGGUGUUCGGGUUGUCAUGCCAAUGGCACUGCCCGGUAGCUAAAUGCGGAAGAGAUAAGUGCUGAAAGCAUCUAAGCACGAAACUUGCCCCGAGAUGAGUUCUCCCUGAGACUUAGAGUCUCCUGAAGGAACGUUGAAGACGACGACGUUGAUAGGCCGGGUGUGUAAGCGCAGCGAUGCGUUGAGCUAACCGGUACUAAUGAACCGUGAGGCUUA